AGAAUCAACGCUGGCGGCGUGCCUAACACAUGCAAGUCGAACGAGAAAGUGGAGCAAUCCAUGAGUAAAGUGGCGACCGGGUGAGUAACACGUGACUAACCUACCUUCGAGUGGGGGAUAACCUCGGGAAACCGAGGCUAAUACCGCAUAACAUCGUGAGAUCAAAGCAGUAAUGCGCUGGAAGAGGGGGUCGCGGCUGAUUAGCUAGUUGGCGGGGUAAUGGCCCACCAAGGCGAAGAUCGGUAGCCGGCCUGAGAGGGGCGCGACCGGACCGACGACCUGGAACGUGAAACACGGUCCAGACUCCUACGGGAGGCAGCAGUGGGGAAUUUUGCGCAAUGGGGGAAACCCUGACGCAGCAACGCCGCGUGGAGGAUGAAGUCCCUUGGGACGUAAACUCCUUUCGACCAAGACGAUAAUGACGGUACUGGUGGAAGAAGCACCGGCUAACUCUGUGCCAGCAGCCGC
This 468-nucleotide ribosomal RNA is filed under the name uncultured bacterium. RNAcentral describes it as "SSU rRNA". It matches the Rfam family "Bacterial small subunit ribosomal RNA", at positions 26 to 518 of the family's 1533-position model. The record is from RNAcentral.